UUCAGGUCCUUGGUAGGGGGCUGUUUUAUUGUGGUCUUCACCUCAUCAUUAUUAAGUC
Molecule: non-coding RNA, 58 nt
Organism: Pteropus alecto (black flying fox)
Lineage: Eukaryota; Metazoa; Chordata; Mammalia; Chiroptera; Pteropodidae
Source: Rfam